UCACAGCACUCACUCAAUCUAUACUGCCCUCUUCCUCACUCUCUGUACUUCUCCCGCACUCUCUUCCCCUCUCUGAUCUGCUCUCCUUAUAGAGGAGAUCGGCCUCCAUUGUUGACAAUCACCAGCCGCAUCCUUCUCUCUCUGCCAUUCUUUUUCUUCCUCCGCCUCUAUCAGAGACUUUGUCUCUGACAGAUUGUCAAAUUGAGGCUGCUUCUGGAAGAUAGGAUUGAAGGAAUUGGCAAGGCAUGGAAGACUUGGGCCUUGGGCUUUCUAUCUGGCUUAAUGGGCUUGGCUCCCAUGGACUGGAUCCAACA
This 314-nucleotide long non-coding RNA is filed under the name Actinidia chinensis (golden kiwifruit). RNAcentral describes it as "long non-coding RNA (ACHI_LNC002037)". Lineage: Eukaryota; Viridiplantae; Streptophyta; Magnoliopsida; Ericales; Actinidiaceae. The record is from RNAcentral.